Molecule: ribosomal RNA, 232 nt
Filed under: uncultured bacterium
Lineage: Bacteria
Description: partial 16S ribosomal RNA
Rfam family: Bacterial small subunit ribosomal RNA
Source: RNAcentral
CGGGGUGGAGUAAUGUCUGGGAAACUGCCUGAUGAGGGGGAGUAACUACUGGAAACGGUAGCUAAUACCGCAUAACGUCGCAAGACCAAAGUGGGGGGACCUUCGGGGCCUCAUGCCAUCAGAUGUGCCCAGAUGGGAUUAACUAGUAGGUGGGGUAACGGCUCACCUAGGCGACGAUCCCUAGCUGGUCUGAGAGGAUGACCAGCCACACUGGAACUGAGACACGGUCCAG